AAAAUAAAAUUCGGAGACUAAAUAGUGUAUUUUUUAAAAUACAAGCACCAAGUAGUUAGUUUUGCUAAACUAUAAGGACUAAAUAGCAAUUUUUUCAUUUUAAAUUGAUCUAUGAUGAACUUAAUAUUUCGUUGACCUUUAGUCUUAAUGUGAAAGUACAAUAAUCUCAAUGUGAACAAAUGGUUGUUAUGAGUUUUUUUAUCAACUUGCCUCCAUAAUUUGAGACUGCUAAAACUCAUUCUUUCUAUUUUG
RNAcentral lists this unclassified non-coding RNA (252 nucleotides) under Hevea brasiliensis (rubber tree). The record is from RNAcentral. Lineage: Eukaryota; Viridiplantae; Streptophyta; Magnoliopsida; Malpighiales; Euphorbiaceae.